This 501-nucleotide ribosomal RNA is filed under the name Triticum aestivum (bread wheat). Its description in RNAcentral is "partial small subunit ribosomal RNA". Lineage: Eukaryota; Viridiplantae; Streptophyta; Magnoliopsida; Poales; Poaceae. The record is from RNAcentral.
AUGCAACAGUGGUUUAACAUGGUGGUGUGGAAGUGUUGCGGCUCGGCUGUGGGAGCUAGAGAUCUUAUCAUGCAAAUAUCAUGUAUGCUGAAGGCGAUUAAAGAGAAGAAAGAUUGCUUCAGACGCCUAUACCUGGAUAGGAGUGCAGACAACAUAGAGAAGUACAAGAUGGCGAAGAAGGCCGCAAAGCGAGCUGUUGGUGAAGCAAGGGGUCGGGCAUAUGAGGACCUCUACCAACGGUUAGGCACAAAGGAAGGUGAAAGGGACAUCUAUAAGAUGGCUAAGAUCCGGGAGAGGAAGACGAGGGAUAUUGGCCAAGUCAAAUGCAUCAAGGACGGAGCAGGCCAACUCUUGGUGAAGGACGAAGAGAUUAAGCAUAGAUGGCGGGAGUACUUCGACAAGCUGUUCAAUGGGGAGAAUGAGGUUCUACCAUUGAACUGGACGACUCCUUUGAUGAGACCAGCAUGCGUUUUGUGCGGCGCAUCCAGGAGUCUGAGGUGA